UUCUUUCAUCAGUUUGUUCCCUGUUUCUUCUCUAGCCUGAGCCUGACACACUAUUCUAGCUAGACAUGGGUGUGGCUCGUGACACCUGAUGACCAAAUGGAUCUACGGCACCGUCGAAUCUCAAACUUUAACUGCCAAAACUAUUGUUUUUCAUCCUGUAGUCCCUUUUAGAAUUACGAAACGUCCUUUUUUGGGCCAUGAUUUCCAGGAAUGCUUUCUCGGGGUUUGUGUGCACGUAUUUCAAACCAUACGGACCUAAAAAUUAGAAGUCAUUCCAUCUUUAUUCCCCUAGAGCCUUCCGGCAGUUCCUAAACUGCUCUAUUUGGAGCAUGUUAUCAUUCUUGUUAGUUCUGAGUGAAUUCCCUCGGUAUGAUCAUUCUUUCAUCAGUUUGUUCCCCGUUUCUUCUCUAGUCUGAGCCUAGCACACUAUUCUAGCUAUUAAUGGGUGUGGAUCGUAACACCUGAUGAGCAAACGGAUCUACGGCACCAUCGAAUCUCAAACUUUAACUGCCAAAACUAUUGUUUUUCAUUCUGUAGUCCCUUUUCGAAUUAUUAAACGUCCUUUUUUGGGCCGAGAUUUCCAGGAACGCUUUCUCGGGGUUUGUGUGCAUGUAUUUCAAAUCAUACGGACCUAAAAAUUAGAAGGCAUUCCAUCUUUAUUCCCCUAGAGACUUCCAGCAGUUCCUAAACCGCUCCAGUCGGAGCAUGUUAUCAUUCUUGUUAGUUCUGAGCGAAUUCCCUCGGUAUGAUCAUUCUAUCAUCUGUUUGUUCCCUGUUUCUUCGCUAGCCUAAGCCUGACACACUAUUCUAGGUAGACAUGGGUGUGGCUCGUGACACCUAAUGACCAAACGGAUCUACGGCACCCUCGAAUCUCAAACUUUAACUACCAAAACUAUUGUUUUUCAUUCUGUAGUCCCUUUUAGAUUACUAAACAUCCUUUUUUGGGCUGAGAUUUCCAGGAACGCUUUCUCGGGGUUUGUGUGCAUGUAUUUCAAACCAAACGUUCCUAAAAUUAGAAGUCAUUCCAUCUUAAUUCCCCUAGAGCCUUCUAGCAAUUCCUAAACAGCUCUAGUCGGAGCAUGUUAUCAUUCUUGUUAAUUCUGAGCGAAUUCCCUCCGUAUGAUCAUUCUUUCAUCAGUUUGUUCUCCGUUUCUGCUCUAGUCUGAGCCUAGCACACUAUUCUAGCUAUUAAUGGGUGUGGAUCGUAACACCUAAUGACCAAACGGAUCUACGACACCAUCGAAUCUCAAACUUUAACUGCCAAAACUAUUGUUUUUCAUCCUGUAGUCCCUUUUCGAAUUAUUAAACGUCCUUUUUUGGGCCGAGAUUUCCAGGAACGCUUUCUCGGGGUUUGUGUGGAUGUAUUUCAAAUCAUACGGACCUAAAAAUUAGAAGGCAUUCCAUCUUUAUUCCCCUAGAGCCUUCCAGCAGUUCCUANNNNNNNNNNNNNNNNNNNNNNNNNNNNNNNNNNNNNNNNNNNNNNNNNNNNNNNNNNNNNNNNNNNNNNNNNNNNNNNNNNNNNNNNNNNNNNNNNNNNNNNNUCGCUAGCCUAAGCCUGACACACUAUUCUAGCUACACAUGGGUGUGGCUCGUGACACCUAAUGACCAAACAGAUCUACGGCACCGUCGAAUCUCAAACUUUAACUACCAAAACUAUUGUUUUUCAUUCUGUAGUCCCUUUUAAAUUACUAAACGUCAUUUUUUGGGCCGAGAUUUCUAGGAACGCUUUCUCGGGGUUUGUGUGCAUGUAUUUCAAGUCAUAUGGACCUAAAAAUUAGAAUCCAUUCCAUCUUUAUUCCCCUAGAGCCUUCCAGCAGUUCCUAAACUGCUCCAGUCGGAGCACAUUAUCAUUAUUGUUAGUUCUGACUGAAUUCCCUCGGUAUGAUCAUUCUUUCAUCAGUUUGUUCCCCGUUUCUGCUCUACUCUGAGCUUAACACACUAUUCUAGCUAGGCAUGGGUGUGGCUCGUAACACCUGAUGACCAAACGGAUCUACGAUACCGUCGAAUCUCAAACUUUGACUACGAAAACUAUUGUUUUUCAUUCUAUAGUCCCUUUUAGAAUUACUAAACGUCCUUUUUUGGGCCGAGAUUUCCAGGAACGCUUUCUCGGGGUUUGUGUGCACGUAUUUCAAACAAUACGGACCUAAAAAUUAGAAUUCAUUCCAUCUUUAUUCCCCUAGAGCCUUCCAGCAGUUCCUAAACCGCUCUAGUCGGAGCACUUUAUCAUUCUUGUUAGUUCUCAGCGAAUUCCCUCGGUAUGAUCAUUCUUUCAUCAGUUUGUUCCCCAUUUCUUCUCUAGCCUGAGCCUAACACACUAUUCUAGCUACACAUGGGUGUGGCUCGUCACACCCGAUGACCAAACGGAUCUACGGCACCGUCGAAUCUCAAACUUUAACUGCCAAAACUAUUGUUUUUCAUCCUGUAGUCCCUUUUAGAAUUACUAAACGUCCUUUUUUGGGUAGAUAUUUCUAGGAACGCUUUAUCGGGGUUUGUGUGCACGUAUUUCAGACCAUACGGACCUAAAAAUUAGAAGUCAUUCCAUCUUUAUUCCCCUAUAGCCUUCCAGCAGUUCCUAAACCGCUCCAGUCGGAGCCCGUUAUCAUUCUUGUUAGUUUUGAGCGAAUUCCCUCGGUAUGAUCAUUCUUUCAUCAGUUUGUUCCCCGUUUCUUCUCUAGUCUAAGCCUAGCACACUAGUUUAGCUAGACAUGGGUGUGGCUCGUAACACCUGAUGGCCAAACGGAUCUACGGCACCGUGAAAUCUCAAACUUUAACUGCCAAAACUAUUGUUUUUCAUCCUGUAGUCCCUUUUAGAAUUACUAAACGUCCUUUUUUGGGCUGAGAUUUCCAGGAACACUUUCUCGGGGUUUGUGUGCAUGUAUUUCAAACCAUAUGGACCUAAAAAUUAGAAGUCAUUCCAUCUUUAUUCCCCUAGAGCCUUCCAACAGUCCCUAAACCGCUCCAGUCCGAGCAUGUUAUCAUUCUUGUUAGUUCUGAGUGAAUUCCCUCGGUAUGAUCAUUCUUUCAUCAGUUUGUUCCCCAUUUCUUCUCUAGUCUGAGCCUAGCUCACUAUUCUAGCUAGACAUGGGUGUGGCUCAUAAUACCUGAUGACCAAACGGAUCUACGGCACCAUCGAAUCUCAAACUUUAACUGCCAAAACAAUUGUUUUUCAUCCUGUAGUCCCUUUUAGAAUUACUAAACGUCCUUUUUUGGGCCGAGAUUUCCAGGAACGCUUUCUCGGGGUUUGUGUGCACGUAUUUCAAACCAAGCGUUCUUAAAAAUUAGAAGUCAUUCCAUCUUUAUUCCCCUAGAGCCUUACAGCAGUUCCUAAACUGCUCCAGUCGGCGCACGUUAUCAUUCUUGUUAGUUCUGAGCGAAUUCCCUCGGUAUGAUCAUUCUUUCAUCAGUUUGUUCCCCGUUUCUUCUCUAGUUUGAGCCUAGCACACUAUUCUAGCUAGACAUGGGUGUGGGUCAUAACACCUGAUGACCAAACAGAUCGACGACACCAUCGAAUCUCAAACUUUAACUGCCAAAACUAUUGUUUUUCAUCCUGUAGUCCCUUUUAGAAUUACUAAACGUCCUUUUUUGGGUCGAGAUUUCCAAGAAAGCUUUCUCGGGCUUUGUGUGCACGUAUUUCAAACCAAAAAUUUCUAAAAAUUAGAAGUCAUUCCAUCUUUAUUCCCCUAGAGCCUUCCAGCAGUUCCUAAACAGCUCCAGUCGGAGCACGUUAUCAUUCUUGUUAGUUCUGAGCGAAUUCCCUCGGUAUGAUCAUUCUUUCAUCAGUUUGUUCCCCGUUUCUUCUAUAGUCUGAGCCUAUCACACUAUUCUAGCUAGACAUGGGUGUGGCUCGUAACACCUGAUGACCAAACGGAUCUACGGCACCAUCGAAUCUAAAACUUUAACUGCCAAAACUAUUGUUUUUCAUCCUGUAGUCCCUUUAGAACUACUAAAUGUCCUUUUUUGGGCCAAGAUUUCCAGGAACGCUUUCUCGGGGUUUGUGUGCAUGUAUUUCAAACCAUACGGACCUAAAAAUUAGGUCAUUCCAUCUUUAUUCCCCUAGAGCCUUCCAGCAGUUCCUAAACCGCUCCAGUCGGAGCAUGUUAUCAUUCUUGUUUGUUCUGAGUGAAUUCCCUCAGUAUGAUCAUUCUUUCAUCAUUUUGUUCCCCGUUUCUUCUCUAGUCUGAGCCUAGCACACUAUUCUAGCUAGACAUGGGUGUGGCUCGUAACACCUGACCAAACGGAUCUACGGCACCGUCGAAUCUCAAACUUUAACUGCCAAAACUAUUGUUUUUCAUCCUGUAGUCCCUUUUAAAUUUAAUAAACGUCCUUUUUUGGGCUGAGAUUUCCAGGAACGCUUUCGUGCGGUUUGUGUGCAAGUAUUUCAAAUCAUACAGACCUAUAAAUUAGAAGUCAUUUCAUCUUUAUUCCCCUAGAGCCUUCGAGCGGUUCCUAAACCGCUCAAGUCGGAGCAUGUUAUCAUUCUUGUUAGUUCUGAGUGAAUUCCCUCGGUAUGAUCAUUCUUUCAUCAGUUUGUUCCCCGUUCCUUCUCUAGUCUGAGCCUAGCACACUACUCUAGCUAGACAUGGGUUUGGCUCGUAACACCUGAUAACCAAACGGGUCUACGACACCAUCGAAUCUCAAACUUUUUUGGGCCAAGAUUUGCAGGAACGCUUUCUCGGGGUUUGUGUGCACGUAUUUCAAAUCAUGCGGACCUAAAAAUUAGAAGUCAUUCCAUAUUUGUUCCCCUAGAGCCUUCCAGCAGUUCCUAAACCGCUCCAGUUGGACCACGUUAUCAUUCUUGUUAGUUCUGAGUGAAUUACCUCGGUAUGAUCAUUCUUUCAUAAGUUUGUUCCCCGUUUCUUCUAUAGUCUGAGCCUAGCACACUACUCUAGCUAGACAUGGGAGUGGCUCGUAACACCUGAUGACCAAACAGAUCUAUGGCACCGUCGAAUCUCAAACUUUAACUGCCAAAACUAUUGUUUUUCAUCCUGUAGUCCCUUUUAGAAUUACUAAACGUCAUUUUUUGGGCUGAGAUUUCCAGGAACGCUUUCGCGGGGUUUGUGUGCACGUAUUUCAAACCAUAGGGACCUAAAAAUUAGAAGUCAUUCCAUCUUUAUUCCCCUAGAGCCUAACACACUAUUCUAGCUAGACAUGGGUGUGGCUCGUAACACCUGAUGACAAAACGGAUCUACGGCACCAUCGAAUCUCAAACUUUAACUGCCAAAAUUAUUGUAUUUCAUCCUGUAGUCCCUUUUAGAAUUAUUAAACGUCCUUUUUUUGGGCUGUGAUUUCCAUGAACGCUUUCUCGGGGUUUCUGUGCACGUAUUUCAAAUCAUACGGACCUAAAAAUUAGAAGUCAUUCCAUCUUUAUUCCCCUAGAGCCUUCCAACAGUUCCUAAACCGCUCCAGUCGGAGCACAUUAUCAUUCUUGUUAGUUCUGAGUGAAUUCCCAUGGUAUGAUCAUUCUUUCAUUAGUUUGUUCCCCGUUUCUUCUCUAGUCUGAGCCUACCACACUAUUCUAGCUAGACAUGGGUGUGGCUCAUAACACCUUAUGACCAAACGGAUCUACGGCACCAUCGAAUCUCAAACUUUAACCGCCAAAACUAUUGUUUUUCAUCAUGUAGUCCCUUUUAGAAUUACUAAACGUCCUUCUUUGGGCAGAGAUUUCCAGGAAUGCUUUAUCGGGGUUUGUGUGCACGUAUUUCAGACCAUACGGACCUAAAAAUUAGAAGUCAUUCCAUCUUUAUUCCCCUAGAGCCUUCCAAUAGUUCCUGAACCGCUCCAGUCGGAGCAUGUUAUCAUUCUUGUUAGUUCUGAGCGAAUUCCCUCGGUAUGAUCAUUCUUUCAUCAGUUUGUUUCCCGUUUCUUCUCUAGUCUGAGCCUAGCACACUACUCUAGCUAGACAUUGGUGUGGCUCGUAACACCUGAUGACCAAACGGAUCUACGGCACUGUCAAAUCUCAAACUUUAACUGCCAAAACUAUUGUUUUUCAUCCUGUAGUCCCUUUUAGAAUUACUAAACGUCCUUUUUUGGGCCGAUAUUUCCAGGAACGCUUUCUUGGGGUUUGUGUGCAUGUAUUUCAAACCAUAUGGAACUAAAAAUUACAAGUCAUUCCAUCUUUAUUCCCCUAGAGCCUUCCAGCAGUUCCUAAACCGCUCCAAUCGGAGCAUGUUAUCAUUCUUGUUAAUUCUGAGUGAAUUCCCUUGGUAUGAUCAUUCUUUCAUCAGUUUGUUCCCGAUUUCUUCUCCAGUCUGAGCCUAGCUCACUAUUCUAGCUAGACAUGGGUGUGGCUCAUAAUACCUGAUGACCAAACGGAUCUACGACACCAUCGAAUCUCAAACUUUAACUGCCAAAACUAUUGUUUUUCAUCUUGUAGUCCCUUUUAGAAUUACUAAACGUCCUUUUGUGGGCUGAGAUUUCCAGGAACGCUUUAUCGGGGUUUGUGUGCUCGUAUUUCAGACCAUACGGACCUAAAAAUUAGAACUCAUUCCAUCUUUAUUCCCCUAGAGCCUUCCAGCAGCUCCUAAACCGCUCCAGUCGAGCACGUUAUCAUUCUUGUUAGUUCUGAGCAAAUUCCCUCGUUAUGAUCAUUCUUUCAUCAGUUUGUUCCCCGUUUCUUCUCUGGUCUGAGCCUAGCACACUAUUCUAGCUAUUAAUGGGUGUGGAUCGUAACACUUGAUGAUCAAACAGAUCUACGGCACCAUCGAUUCUCAAACUUUAACUGCCAAAACUAUUGUUUUUCAUCCUGUAGUCCCUUUUAGAAUUAUUAAACGUCCUUUUUUGGGCCGAGAUUUCUAGGAACGCUGUCUCGGGGUUUGUGUGCACGUAUUUCUAAUCAUACGGACCUAAAAAUUAGAAGUCAUUCCAUAUUUAUUCCCCUAGAGCCUUCCAGCAGUUCCUAAACCGCUCAAGUCGGAGCACGUUAUCAUUCUUGUUAGUUCUUAGCGAAUUCCCUCGAUAUGAUCAUUCUUUCAUCAGUUUGUUCCCCGUUUCUUCUCUAGCCUGAGCCCGACACACUAUUCUAGCUAGACAUGGGUGUGGCUCGUAACACCUAAUGACCAAACGGAUCUACGGCACCGUUGAAUCUCAAACUUUAACAGCCAAAAUUAUUGUUUUUCAUUAUGUAGUCUCUUUUAAAUUACUAAACGUCAUUUUUUGAGCUGAGAUAUCCAGGAACGCUUUCUCGGGGUUUUUGUGCACGUAUUUCAAAUCAUACGGACCUGAAAAUUAGAAGUCAUUCCAUCUUUAUUCCCCUAGAGCCUUCCAGCAGUUCCUAAACCGCUCCAGUUGGACCACGUUAUCAUUCUUGUUAGUUCUGAGUGAAUUACCUUAGUAUGAUCAUUCUUUCAUCAGUUUGUUCCCUGUUUCUUCUAUAGUCUGAGCCUAGCACACUACUCUAGCUAGACAUGGGUGUGGCUCGUAACACCUGAUGACCAAACAGAUCUACGGCACCGUCGAAUCUCAAACUUUAACUGCCAAAACUAUUGUUUUUCAUCCUGUAGACCCUUUUAGAAUUACUAAACGUCCUUUUUUGGGCUGAGAUUUCCGGGAACGCUUUCACGGGGUUUGUGUGCACGUAUUUUAAACCAUAUGGACCUAAAAAUUAGAAGUCAUUCCAUCUUUAUUCCCAUAGAGCCUAACACACUAUUCUAGCUAGAUAUGGGUGUGGCUCGUAACACCUGAUGACCAAACGGAUCUACGGCACCAUCGAAUCUCAAACUUUAACUGCCAAAACUAUUGUAUUUCAUCAUGUAGUCCCUUUUAGAAUUAUUAAACGUCCUUUUUUAGGGCCGUGAUUUCCAUGAACGCUUUCUUGGGGUUUCUGUGCAUGUAUUUCAAAUCAUACGGACCUAAAAAUUAGAAGUCAUUCCAUCUUUAUUCCCCUAGAGCCUUCCAGCAGUUCCUAAACCGCUUCAGUCGGAGCACGUUAUCAUUCUUGUUAGUUCUGAGUGAAUUCCCUUGGUAUGAUCAUUCUUUCAUCAGUUUGUUCCCCGUUUCUUCUCUAGUCUGAGCCUAGCACACUAUUCUAGCUAGACAUGGGUGUGGCUCAUAACACCUCAUGACCAAACGGAUCUACGGCACCAUCGAAUCUCAAACUUUAACUGCCAAAACUAUUGUUUUUCAUCCUGUAGUCCCUUUUAGAAUUACUAAACGUCCUUUUUUGGGCAGAUAUUUCCAGGAACGCUUUAUCGGGGUUUGUGUGCUCGUAUUUCAGACCAUACGGACCUAAAAAUUAGAACUCAUUCCAUCUUUAUUCCCCUAUAGCCUUCCAGCAAUUCCGAAACCACUCUAUUCGGAGCACGUUAUCAUUCUUGUUAGUUCUAAAAGAAUUCCCUCGGUAUGAUCAUUCUUUCAUCAGUUUAUUUCCCGUUUCUUCUCUAGUCUAAGCCUAGCACACUAGUCUAGCUAGACAUGGGUGUGGCUCGUAACACCUGAUGACCAAACGGAUCUACGGCACCGUCAAAUCUCAAACUUUAACUGCCAAAACUAUUGUUUUUCAUCCUGUAGUCCCUUUAGAAUUACAAAAGGUCCUUUUUUGGGCCGAGAUUUCCAGGAACACUUUCUCGGGGGUUUGUGUGCAUGUAUUUCAAACCAUAUGGACCUAAAAAUUAGAAGUCAUUCCAUCUUUAUUCCCCUAGAGCCUUCCAGCAGUUCCUAAACCGCUCCAGUCGGAGCAUGUUAUCAUUCUUGUUAGUUCUGAGUGAAUUCCCUCGGUAUGAUCAUUCUUUCAUCAGUUUGUUCCCCAUUUCUUCUCUAGUCUGAGCCUAGCUCACUAUUCUAGCUAGACAUGGGUGUGGCUCGUAAUACCUGAUGACCAAAUGGAUCUACGGCACCAUCGAAUCUCAAACUUUUACUGCCAAAACUAUUGUUUUUCAUCCUGUAGUCCCUUUUAGAAUUACUAAACGUCCUUUUUUGGGCUGAGAUUUCCAGGAACGCUUUCUUGGGGUUUGUGUGCACGUAUUUCAAACCAAGCGUUCCUAAAAAUUAGAAGUCAUUCCAUCUUUAUUCCCCUAGAGCCUUACAGCAGUUCCUAAACUGCUCCAGUCGGCGCACGUUAUCAUUCUUGUUAGUUCUGAGUGAAUUCCCUCGGUAUGAUCAUUCUUUCAUCAGUUUGUUCCCCGUUUCUUCUCUAGUCUGAGCCUACCACACUAUUCUAGCUAGACAUGGGUGUGGCUCAUAACACCUUAUGACCAAACGGAUCUACGGCACCAUCGAAUCUCAAACUUUAACUGCCAAAACUAUUGUUUUUCAUCCUGUAGUCCCUUUUAGAAUUACUAAACGUCCUUUUUUGGGCAGAUAUUUCCAGGAAUGCUUUAUCGGGGUUUGUGUGCACGUAUUUCAGACCAUACGGACCUAAAAAUUAGAAGUCAUUCCAUCUUUAUUCCCCUAUAGCCUUCCACCAGUUCCUAAACCACUCCAGUCGGAGCACGUUAUCAUUCUUGUUAGUUCUGAGCGAAUUCCCUCGGUAUGAUCAUUCUUUCAUCAGUUUAUUCCCCGUUUCUUCUCUAGUCUAAGCCUAGCACACUAGUCUAGCUAGACAUGGGUGUGGCUCGUAACACCUGAUGACCAAACGGAUCUACGGCACCGUCAAAUCUCAAACUUUAACUGCCAAAACUAUUGUUUUUCAUCCUGUAGUCCCUUUUAGAAUAACUAAACGUCCUUUUUUGGGCCGAGAUUUCCGGGAACACUUUCUCGGGGUUUGUGUGCAUGUAUUUCA
RNAcentral lists this long non-coding RNA (9715 nucleotides) under Triticum aestivum (bread wheat). Its description in RNAcentral is "long non-coding RNA (TAES_LNC019905)". The record is from RNAcentral. Lineage: Eukaryota; Viridiplantae; Streptophyta; Magnoliopsida; Poales; Poaceae.